GACGAACGCUGGCGGCGUGCUUAACACAUGCAAGUCGAACGGAAAGGCCCUGCUUUUGUGGGGUGCUCGAGUGGCGAACGUGUGAGUAACACGUGAGUAACCUGCCCUUGACUUUGGGAUAACUUCAGGAAACUGGGGCUAAUACCGGAUAGGAGCUCCUGCUGCAUGGUGGGGGUUGGAAAGUUUCGGCGGUUGGGGAUGGACUCGCGGCUUAUCAGCUUGUUGGUGGGGUAGUGGCUUACCAAGGCUUUGACGGGUAGCCGGCCUGAGAGGGUGACCGGCCACAGUGGGACUGAGAUACGGCCCAGACUCCUACGGGAGGCAGCAGUGGGGAAUAUUGCACAAUGGGCGGAAGCCUGAUGCAGCAACGCCGCGUGCGGGAUGACGGCCUUCGGGUUGUAGACCGCUUUCGCCUGUGACGAAGCGUGAGUGACGGUAAUGGGUAAAGAAGCACCGGCUAACUACGUG
RNAcentral lists this ribosomal RNA (468 nucleotides) under uncultured bacterium. RNAcentral's name for it is "partial 16S ribosomal RNA". It matches the Rfam family "Bacterial small subunit ribosomal RNA", at positions 28 to 507 of the family's 1533-position model. The record is from RNAcentral.